Long non-coding RNA from Ficedula albicollis (Collared flycatcher), 768 nucleotides. RefSeq lists it as uncharacterized. The record is from RefSeq and is a predicted model, not a curated record. The transcript is spliced from 3 exons. NCBI's taxonomy places the organism in Eukaryota, Metazoa, Chordata, Aves, Passeriformes, Muscicapidae.
CACAUGGAAAAAGAAGCUGAAAAAUCACUGGUCAAUCCAUUCUUCUUCAUGCCUUGUCUAUCCUUUCUAAGAGAGAGCACGAGACAAUCUCACACCCCAUUACUCAGAGAUCCUCUGAGAUCCUGUACGUGUUUGUGACCAUUCCUGAGCCCCGAGCUGGAAUUUUUAAAGCACUACCAGCAGCAGCCCCAAGCAAAAUAAUGGAUGACUGAGAUCAGAGGGAAGCACCGUGUGCUCACAAAGUGAAGAACUGCACAUGCAGGAGGCUCAGAUUUCCCCUCUCGACCACCUGAUUAGUCAAGGUCUUGGUACUGCCCAGCUCUGUGAUCAGCGAUGUGUCUGCAGCCUGGGUGGGAUCUAUUGGGUGAAUGUCCCUCAGAGGCAGUUCCAUGGGCCUAGGCCAGGUGUCCAAGGCCAGUACAAGCCAGCUUGCAGUGCCACAGAUGAUCUACAGAGCACCCUUCUGACCUCAGCCAUUCUGGGACUGUGUUCCUGAUUGUUAGCACCAAAUGAAUUAUUCAGCUGAAGAUGAGUCAGGAUGGCACAGUGAAGAACUGAAGUGAUUCUCUGUUUAACAUGAAGCUUCCAGUGGGUGUGGGGGGAUGAAUGGAGUCAGGCCACCAGUCUGUCACCUGGAUAAUCCCUCUUCCACUUCUGCUGCCAUCUCUGGGCUGGUUGGGACUGAAGUGGUACCUUUAGAAUUCACAGAAUCACUGGGUUGGAAGAGACCUUCAAGAUCAUGGAGUCCAACCCAUGCCCUAACACCUG